This 468-nucleotide ribosomal RNA is filed under the name uncultured bacterium. Its description in RNAcentral is "partial 16S ribosomal RNA". It matches the Rfam family "Bacterial small subunit ribosomal RNA", at positions 28 to 507 of the family's 1533-position model. The record is from RNAcentral.
GACGAACGCUGGCGGUGUGCUUAACACAUGCAAGUCGAACGGUAAGGCCCUUUCGGGGGUACACGAGUGGCGAACGGGUGAGUAACACGUGAGUAACCUGCCCUCAUCUCUGGGAUAACAGUCGGAAACGGUUGCUAAUACUGGAUAUGAGCUUGCAAGGCAUCUUGUGGGUUGGAAAGAUUUUUUUUGGUUGGGGAUGGACUCGCGGCCUAUCAGCUUGUUGGUGAGGUAGUGGCUCACCAAGGCCUCGACGGGUAGCCGGCCUGAGAGGGCGACCGGCCACAUUGGGACUGAGAUACGGCCCAAACUCCUACGGGAGGCAGCAGUGGGGAAUAUUGCACAAUGGACGGAAGUCUGAUGCAGCAACGCCGCGUGCGGGAUGACGGCCUUCGGGUUGUAAACCGCUUUCAAUUGUGACGAAGCGUUUUUGUGACGGUAGCAGUAGAAGAAGCACCGGCUAACUACGUG